Molecule: non-coding RNA, 319 nt
Organism: Pelobates cultripes (western spadefoot toad)
Lineage: Eukaryota; Metazoa; Chordata; Amphibia; Anura; Pelobatidae
Source: the annotation of a GenBank genome assembly
ACACACACUGCAUACACCAAUACAACACACAGACACUGCAUACACUAAUACAACACACACACACUGCAUACACUAAUACAACACACACACUGCAUACACUAAUACAACACACACACACUGCAUACACUAAUACAACACACACUGCAUACACCAAUACAACACACAGACACUGCAUACACUAAUACAACACAGACACUGCAUACACUAAUACAACACACACACACUGCAUACACUAAUACAAUACAACACACAGACACUGCAUACACUAAUACAACACACACACACUGCAUACACUAAUACAACACACACACUGCAUACA